UGAGGCAUAUUGGACAAUGGGCGCAAGCCUGAUCCAGCCAUGCCGCGUGCAGGAAGAAGCAUCUAUGGUGUGUAAACUGCUUUUGUACGGGAAGAAACACUCCUUCGUGAAGGAGCUUGACGGUACCGUAAGAAUAAGGAUCGGCUAACUCCGUGCCAGCAGCCGCGGUAAUACGGAGGACCCAAGCGUUAUCCGGAACCAUUGGGUUUAAAGGGUCUGUAGGCGGUUUAGUAAGUCAGUGGUGAAAGCCCAUCGCUCAACGAUGGAACGGCCAUUGAUACUGCUAGACUUGAAUUAUUAGGAAGUAACUAGAAUAUGUAGUGUAGCGGUGAAAUGCAUAGAUAUUACAUGGAAUACCAAUUGCGAAGGCAGGUUACUACUAAUGGAUUGACGCUGAUGGACGAAAGCGUGGAGAGCAAACA
RNAcentral lists this ribosomal RNA (422 nucleotides) under uncultured bacterium. RNAcentral's name for it is "bacterial SSU rRNA". It matches the Rfam family "Bacterial small subunit ribosomal RNA", at positions 355 to 774 of the family's 1533-position model. The record is from RNAcentral.